UUUUUUUGCGCCUGCUCAUAAAUCUGAGAAACGUGAGUUUGUCAUCAUUUUUUAUCUAGACAUAGGAUAGGUUGUGUGAAAAUAUUACUGAUGUUUAACGUUAAAAAAUGGACCAAAAGAUUAAUGCUAAACAACAUUUGACAUGUUUGAACGAACAUAAAUAGAUUAUUUACUAGGUUUUUUUAGCUUUUCGGCGUGAUUUUACCAGCCCCCCACCACGUUUUGUGGGAGCAUAAUGAACGCUAAGUACUUGGUGUUAUUUGGACAUAAAUUAUGAACUUUGUCAAAAGAAACCACAUUUGUUCCGGACCUGGAAUGCCUUCCGGACCUGGGAUCCUGCCUUCUGAUGGAGAUAAUCAAAGGUAAUUCUAAUGGGCAUCAUGCCUACACUGGACCUGAACCAACUGGAUCCUAUGCCAAAGCAAGUGUGGUGCCUAGUCCAAAUGCUAAAGCUACUGGCCACAAUGCCACGUCAGCAGAAGCUACUGGCCACAAUGCCACGUCAGCAGAAGCUACUGGCCACAAUGCCACGCCAGCAGAAUCUACUGGCCACAAUGCCCCGUCAAGUGUGAAGUCCGGCCCCAGCGCC
Molecule: long non-coding RNA, 589 nt
Filed under: Salmo salar (Atlantic salmon)
Lineage: Eukaryota; Metazoa; Chordata; Actinopteri; Salmoniformes; Salmonidae
Description: lncRNA (ENSSSAG00000091741.1)
Source: RNAcentral